Molecule: long non-coding RNA, 262 nt
Filed under: Lathyrus oleraceus (garden pea)
Lineage: Eukaryota; Viridiplantae; Streptophyta; Magnoliopsida; Fabales; Fabaceae
Description: Pisum sativum (pea) long non-coding RNA (PSAT_LNC011643)
Source: RNAcentral
AAUGGAUUUUAAUAUGUCUUAGGAAAUGUUUGUGUGGUUUGCAUGUUUAGGCAUGCAAGAUUUUAGUGCAAGGCCUAAUUUAUGGUUUGUACAAGGCAAGGUCUUUGGUUUGGCAAGACCAUACAUCACCAAGGCAUGGCAAAUGGUGGCAAGAUUUCAAACCAAAGACUUUCUUGAUCAUGAAGAAACAUGGAAACUCAUGGGAUCAAGUAUAGAUGUAAAUGCCAUUAGUAUUAGGUUUAUGAUGACAAAAACACAAUGG